AGAGAAAGCAUCCAAAGGGAUCGCAUUGAUCCUAAUUAAGCUGAUUUAUUCCCCAAUAUUUUAUUUUCCUCAUUCGAAAGUUGGAGAAAAAAAAAAAAAAUUCUAAACAUUUGCUUUCUUUUCCGGAUCAUGCGAUCUCUUUGGAUUCAUUCUU
MicroRNA precursor from Arabidopsis lyrata subsp. lyrata, 154 nucleotides. It matches the Rfam family "mir-393 microRNA precursor family". The record is from Rfam. NCBI's taxonomy places the organism in Eukaryota, Viridiplantae, Streptophyta, Magnoliopsida, Brassicales, Brassicaceae.